Picea glauca (white spruce) is the source of this 74-nucleotide non-coding RNA. The record is from Rfam. Lineage: Eukaryota; Viridiplantae; Streptophyta; Pinopsida; Pinales; Pinaceae.
GCUUUCAUAGCUCAGUUGGUUGGAGCAUCUUUUUAGUAAGAGGGAGGUCAUGAGUUCAACUCUUAUUUAAAGCA